Molecule: ribosomal RNA, 254 nt
Filed under: uncultured bacterium
Lineage: Bacteria
Description: partial 16S ribosomal RNA
Rfam family: Bacterial small subunit ribosomal RNA
Source: RNAcentral
UACGGAGGGGGGCUAGCGUUGUUCGGAAUUACUGGGCGUAAAGCGCACGUAGGCGGCUUUGUAAGUUAGAGGUGAAAGCCCGGGGCUCAACUCCGGAAUUGCCUUUAAGACUGCAUCGCUAGAAUUGUGGAGAGGUAAGUGGAAUUCCGAGUGUAGAGGUGAAAUUCGUAGAUAUUCGGAAGAACACCAGUGGCGAAGGCGACUCGCUGGACAAGUAUUGACGCUGAGGUGCGAAAGCGUGGGGAGCAAACAGG